RNAcentral lists this ribosomal RNA (386 nucleotides) under uncultured bacterium. Its description in RNAcentral is "bacterial SSU rRNA". It matches the Rfam family "Bacterial small subunit ribosomal RNA", at positions 28 to 418 of the family's 1533-position model. The record is from RNAcentral.
GACGAACGCUGGCGGCGUGCUUAACACAUGCAAGUCGAGCGGUAAGGCCCUUCGGGGUACACGAGCGGCGAACGGGUGAGUAAUACAUCGGAACGUGUCCUUGAGUGGGGGAUAGCUCGGCGAAAGCCGGAUUAAUACCGCAUAAGCUCUGAGGAGGAAAGCGGGGGAUUCGCAAGGACCUCGCGCUGUUGGAGCGGCCGAUGUCGGAUUAGCUAGUUGGUGGGGUAAAGGCCCACCAAGGCGACGAUCCGUAGCUGGUCUGAGAGGAUGAUCAGCCACACUGGAACUGAGACACGGUCCAGACUCCUACGGGAGGCAGCAGUGGGGAAUUUUGGACAAUGGGGGCAACCCUGAUCCAGCCAUUCCGCGUGAGUGAAGAAGGCCUC